UUGGUUACUUUGGCAGCACAAAUACUAAAAUUGGAAAGAUAUCCAGAUCAGCUUGGUCCCUGUGCAAAAGUGACAUAAAAAUUCCUAAAGUCUUUAUGUUUGUU
This 104-nucleotide small nuclear RNA is filed under the name Castor canadensis (American beaver). Lineage: Eukaryota; Metazoa; Chordata; Mammalia; Rodentia; Castoridae. The record is from RNAcentral.